AUGCCAUUGUUUGUACAUGCCAUUGAUAUAAAUUGAUGCCAUUGUGUGCUGAAUUUUGAAAUUGAUAUAAUUACUUUAGAAAUGCUCAGUAACAGAGACUAAAUUAUGAUACAUGAAAAUGCACUUUCUCUCAUGUUGACAAAUGAUAUAAUGUUGUUUCUCUGCAACACCUCAGGCCUCUGACCUCACUGACAUGCGAGGUGUUUUCAUUUGAGUGCUUCCAGUAGUUUGAAGCAGUUCUUCAAAGCAUGUUUUGCUUCAGAUGAUGGAGACUCAAAUCAACAUGUGCUCGUUGGAAUUCUUAACCGAGAAAAUGAUGAUGUGGCUCUGCAACCCCUGUCCUUCCACCUCCACCCAUCCCCUGUGGGAAUCAUCUUGGAGGGAAAUGUUGUAAUGGACAAUACAGACAAUAUACCCCAGGCCAUGUGUCUUUUUGGAUCAACCUAUGCACUGCACCUAGGCUACGCAAAAUGCAUGGACAAUACCCUUCUUUUUAUUCAACAAGUUUGGGUAAGAAGACGCUGAAGGGUAAGAUUCUGGCUUGUCAUGUAAACUGGUACAAAAAAGGCAUGUUCCUUCAGGCUUGCUGUACUAACUGUGAGUUACAAAAACUUAAAACUAUGCCUUAGUGUUUGGCAAGUGUAAAUAUUCCAUAAUGUUACAAUGUAAUAAUAUCUUGUGGUUGUUUAUUACUUGGAUAUGUUUGUAAAGAUUUAUUGAAAUAUUUUAAACAAGUGUUUUAAUAAGAUUUAUAACAAUAAAUAUCGACAAAUUGUUAUACAAGGCA
Danio rerio (zebrafish) is the source of this 787-nucleotide non-coding RNA. Lineage: Eukaryota; Metazoa; Chordata; Actinopteri; Cypriniformes; Danionidae. The record is from RefSeq and is a predicted model, not a curated record.